UUCUUAUCUACAAUUCUAUUGCUAAUUUUGUUCUUCAAUCGAUCCUUUUUAACUGAUUUGUUCCCUUUUUCUUAUUACUUCCUCUCCGAUCUCCUCUCCUCUCCUCUCCUUUUAUAUAUUGCCCACAAAAUAACAAUAUUCUCUCUCACUUUCUUUUAUUUUCUUCUACGUUUUUCUUUUGAUCUUGAACUAAUUCUUGAUCACAUUCUUAAAUUCUUAAGGCAUCUUAUAGAGCCAUAUGGCCCCUCCUAUGAUGGAAAUUGAGAGAAAAAGCGUGACUAAAUCCACCAAAUUGUUACGCACACCUACCAUUGCUUGUCUAUCUUGCUAUCAGUUUUUUAAAGAAAGUAAAUAGAGAAUUCUUGAUUCGAAUAAAAAAAAUCAAGAAAGCGGAGGAGAAUUCAAGAAUGUAAAGAAAAGUGGAUGAAGGAGGUGAGAUUUUUAAAGAUAUUGUUCCAUCUACUUGAAUAGUGAGAAAUUAUCAGUCUGUGUUCUUG
This 497-nucleotide long non-coding RNA is filed under the name Olea europaea (common olive). RNAcentral describes it as "long non-coding RNA (OEUR_LNC013384)". Lineage: Eukaryota; Viridiplantae; Streptophyta; Magnoliopsida; Lamiales; Oleaceae. The record is from RNAcentral.